This 296-nucleotide small nuclear RNA is filed under the name Saimiri boliviensis boliviensis (Bolivian squirrel monkey). RNAcentral describes it as "7SK RNA (ENSSBOG00000001958.1)". It matches the Rfam family "7SK RNA". From Rfam's summary of the family: 7SK was discovered as an abundant small nuclear RNA in the mid-70s but a possible function has only recently been suggested. Two independent studies have found that 7SK RNA binds the CDK9/cyclin T complex (known as elongation factor P-TEFb). Lineage: Eukaryota; Metazoa; Chordata; Mammalia; Primates; Cebidae. The record is from Rfam by way of RNAcentral.
GGAUGUGAGAGCAAUCUGCCUGCGACAUCCGUCACCAUAUUGAUUGCCAGGGUUGAUUCAGCUGAUCUGGUUGGCUAGGCAGGUGUCCCUUCCUCCCUCACCUUUCCAUGUGUGUCCCUCUCAAAGCCACAUGCUCGUUUGAAAAGGACAACCAUAUCAGAUAAAGGAGGACCAGUCUUUGGUCAAGGGUAUAUGAAUAGCUGCAUUCCCCUGCUAGAACUCUAAACAAGCUCUCAUAUCCACCCAUUGUGAUCCUGGUCCUCAAGUAUCAGCAGCAGAUUUCUUUAAGCCUUCUU